Molecule: ribosomal RNA, 375 nt
Filed under: Triticum aestivum (bread wheat)
Lineage: Eukaryota; Viridiplantae; Streptophyta; Magnoliopsida; Poales; Poaceae
Description: partial small subunit ribosomal RNA
Source: RNAcentral
AUGCCCCGCUCCUCUCCCUAUUUAACCCGUCUUCUGCCUCCAUUCCUCUCCAAGAAGAGCCACAGCUUCUUCUCCAAUUUGAGCUCCUCUUCAGCGCCACUCCGACCUCCAGAAUCCACCACCACUUCCAGAAUUCAUCCAGAAUCACAGAUACGCAUACACCUGCCCGGCUUCAAGCUUCCUUGCUUUAGCACUUCUUUGCAUAUCUCGAUGGAGUGCGAGAACGGGCACGUUGCCGCCAACGGCGAUGGCCUGUGCGUGGCGCAGCCGGCGCGGGCCGACCCGCUCAACUGGGGGAAGGCGGCGGAGGAGCUGUCCGGUAGCCAUUUGGAUGCCGUGAAGCGGAUGGUCGAGGAGUACCGUAAGCCGGCCUGA